AUUGAACGCUGGCGGUAUGCCUAACACAUGCAAGUCGAACGGCAGCACAGUAAGAGCUUGCUCUUACGGGUGGCGAGUGGCGGACGGGUGAGGAAUACAUCGGAAUCUACUUUUUCGUGGGGGAUAACGUAGGGAAACUUACGCUAAUACCGCAUACGACCUACGGGUGAAAGCAGGGGAUCUUCGGACCUUGCGCGAUUGAAUGAGCCGAUGUCGGAUUAGCUAGUUGGCGGGGUAAAGGCCCACCAAGGCGACGAUCCGUAGCUGGUCUGAGAGGAUGAUCAGCCACACUGGAACUGAGACACGGUCCAGACUCCUACGGGAGGCAGCAGUGGGGAAUAUUGGACAAUGGGCGCAAGCCUGAUCCAGCCAUACCGCGUGGGUGAAGAAGGCCUUCGGGUUGUAAAGCCCUUUUGUUGGGAAAGAAAAGCAGCAGGUUAAUACCCCGCUGUUCUGACGGUACCCAAAGAAUAAGCACCGGCUAACUUCGUG
Molecule: ribosomal RNA, 492 nt
Filed under: uncultured bacterium
Lineage: Bacteria
Description: partial 16S ribosomal RNA
Rfam family: Bacterial small subunit ribosomal RNA
Source: RNAcentral